RNAcentral lists this ribosomal RNA (311 nucleotides) under uncultured bacterium. RNAcentral describes it as "bacterial SSU rRNA". It matches the Rfam family "Bacterial small subunit ribosomal RNA", at positions 30 to 342 of the family's 1533-position model. The record is from RNAcentral.
AUUGAACGCUGGCGGCAUGCCUUACACAUGCAAGUCGAACGGCAGCACGGGAGCAAUCCUGGUGGCGAGUGGCGAACGGGUGAGUAAUAUAUCGGAACGUGCCCAGUCGUGGGGAUAACGUAGCGAAAGCUACGCUAAUACCGCAUACGAUCUAUGGAUGAAAGCGGGGGAUCGCAAGACCUCGCGCGAUUGGAGCGGCCGAUAUCAGAUUAGGUAGUUGGUGAGGUAAAGGCUCACCAAGCCGACGAUCUGUAGCUGGUCUGAGAGGACGACCAGCCACACUGGGACUGAGACACGGCCCAGACUCCUAC